This 301-nucleotide ribosomal RNA is filed under the name uncultured bacterium. Its description in RNAcentral is "partial 16S ribosomal RNA". It matches the Rfam family "Bacterial small subunit ribosomal RNA", at positions 509 to 807 of the family's 1533-position model. The record is from RNAcentral.
CAGCAGCCACGGGAAUACAGAGGGUGCGAGCGUUAAUUGGAUUUACUGGGCGUAAAGCGUGCGUAGGCGGCUUUUUAAGUCGGAUGUGAAAUCCCUGAGCUUAACUUAGGAAUUGCAUUCGAUACUGGGAAGCUAGAGUAUGGGAGAGGAUGGUAGAAUUCCAGGUGUAGCGGUGAAAUGCGUAGAGAUCUGGAGGAAUACCGAUGGCGAAGGCAGCCAUCUGGCCUAAUACUGACGCUGAGGUACGAAAGCAUGGGGAGCAAACAGGAUUAGAUACCCCCGUAGUCCCUGUCUCUUAUAC